Molecule: small RNA, 526 nt
Filed under: Oryza sativa Japonica Group (Japanese rice)
Lineage: Eukaryota; Viridiplantae; Streptophyta; Magnoliopsida; Poales; Poaceae
Description: sRNA Os04g0324750
Source: RNAcentral
GCCGCCGCCGUCCUCGGGCAGGAACACGCGUUCGACGACGUGCUUCCCGGCGCCGCCGCCUGGCGGCGGCGGCAGCGGAGGGAGGAGCUGCACGGAUUCCCGCGGGUGCGGCGGCCGGAGCACAGUGUAGCGGUAUGGCGUGUUGAUGCCAAGCCGCCGCGGCGCUCGGUCGGUGGACUCGACGAGGAGACGGCCGUCGCGGCAGUCGGCGAUGGAUGGACGGUGGUAGCCGGCGAGGUGGCCGAACGCGCCGAAGUACCCAUGCCUCGUCCGGUGGGCGGCGGCGGCGGCGACGCCCGGAUGCUGCGGGAGUGCCUUGAACUGCGGCCGCCGCCCGACGUCGCCGCCGCCGUCGUCGACGCAGAAGCCUAGGAGGCGCGGCGGGUGGAUGACUCGGAAGCGGCGGAGGAAGAGGUCGCCGGAGGCGACGCGGAGCCAGUGCUUGCAGACGAUCGCGGCGGCGAUGAGGUGUUCGUGGGACUCGAGGCGGAGGAGGAUCUCGCCGAGGAGGUCCUCGUCGGAGAGC